Molecule: ribosomal RNA, 775 nt
Filed under: uncultured Neocallimastigales
Lineage: Eukaryota; Fungi; Neocallimastigomycota; Neocallimastigomycetes; Neocallimastigales
Description: partial large subunit ribosomal RNA
Rfam family: Eukaryotic large subunit ribosomal RNA
Source: RNAcentral
UAGAUGCGAGAGUAGAGCAUAUCAAUAAGCGGAGGAAAAGAAACUAACAAGGAUUCCCUUAGUAACGGCGAGUGAAGCGGGAAGAGCUCAAAUUUGAAAUCUUCAAGGUUCUACCUUGACGAAUUGUAGUUUAUAGAAGUGUUUUCUGUUAGUAGAGUGGCAAAAGUUCUUUGGAAUAGGACAUCAUAGAGGGUGAGAAUCCCGUAUUUGGUCAUUCUUUCUAGCUUUGUGAUACACUUUCAACGAGUCGGAUUGUUUGGGAAUGCAGUCCAAAAUGGGUGGUAAAUUUCAUCUAAAGCUAAAUAUUGGCGAGAGACCGAUAGCGAACAAGUACCGUGAGGGAAAGAUGAAAAGAACUUUGAAAAGAGAGUUAAACAGUACGUGAAAUUGUCAAAAGGGAAGCGUUUGACACCAGUGUUGUUUUCUCGAAAAUCAAUUAAAAAAGGCCGGAUUUUGUGUUGUAUUGACUUUAUCAGCCUUCUUCACUCUUUUCCUAUCUUUUUUAAUGCACUUUUCGUUUAACAAGUCAACAUCAGUUUCUUUUGCUGUAAAAGAGUCAUUGGAAGGUGGCUUUCUUUUCGGAGAAAGUGUUUAUAGCCUUUGAUCUUCUGCAAUCGGAGAGAUUGAGGUCUGCAGCGUAGAUCCUUCGGGGUUAGAUACAUUUGUGCUAAGCUAUAGCCUUUCAUAGACAACUUGUUGACUAUGAUCAGUCAUGUAGCUUACUCGCUUAUGCUAUUUUACCUACGCUUAGGAUGUUGACACACGCGCGUGCUCG